Molecule: long non-coding RNA, 886 nt
Organism: Lycium barbarum (goji berry)
Lineage: Eukaryota; Viridiplantae; Streptophyta; Magnoliopsida; Solanales; Solanaceae
Exons: 3
Source: RefSeq, a predicted model, not a curated record
UAUAUUAAAAGUUUGGAAUUUGGAAAAAUACCAGGAAAUAGAAGUUGUAGAUAAUUGAAUUAGCUUUCCAUCCAUAGGUCGUGGGUUCCCAGGUGACGACGGUACAUGGAGAUAUGGACGUUUUAAGGUCGAAAGGUCAGUGGACUAGGCCAACCUCGGGACCAACCGGGUUGGCCCAAAAAAAUAAAAAAUAAAAAUCAAGCCCAAGGGAGAGGGGUGGCCGGCCAUCUUAUGGCCCAAGCCCACAAUUUUAAUAAUUUUCCAUGUGCCAAAUUAAUAUAAGGGGCCAUAUAUGCAUCAUUUAUCCAUUAGAAACUUCAAGAACUAAAACAAAACAAGAAGAACAAAAAAAAUGAAGAGCAAUUUCGGCCAUAGCUAGGGGAAUUUCACCCCUCAAAAUCUUCCUCCAAAAAUUAUUAGCUUGUGGUAUUUCCACUAAUUCAAGGGUCCUUUACAACUUGGUGUAGUUGUUUUGGAAGAAGGAGCACUUAUUUCUUCAAGUUGACAACUUGUUCAAGUGAAGAAAUUUGUAGAAAAAGAUUUUGAAGGAAACGGGAAUUGAAUUUGAACUAGCGUAAAGGGCGAAAAAGGUACAGACGACAGAUUUGCUGACCGCCUGCCUAGGAUAUCUAUUCUACUAUUUUGGGAGUGCUCUUUUGUCCAGAGCCUAUAUGUUGGUACAGUCUGCUGCUAUUGUAUAUAUAUAUGCUAUUCAGGGGUAUGACGGGGCCCUGUCCCGUCUUAUGAUUCUGUUAUGUUCUGUAGAGGUCUGUAGACAUACUUGUGUGGGUUCUGUAUAUGUUUUGGGUUGAUAUGAUCUGUGAAAGCCUUAUCGACUUCCACGUACUAUAUCUGUUCAUCUAUGAUAACUAGUAACGCCAACUGA